This 253-nucleotide ribosomal RNA is filed under the name uncultured bacterium. RNAcentral describes it as "partial 16S ribosomal RNA". It matches the Rfam family "Bacterial small subunit ribosomal RNA", at positions 524 to 776 of the family's 1533-position model. The record is from RNAcentral.
UACGUAGGGUGCAAGCGUUGUUCGGAAUUAUUGGGCGUAAAGCGCGUGUAGGCGGUUCGCUAAGUCCGGCGUGAAAGCCCGGAGCUUAACUCCGGAAGAGCACUGGAUACUGGCGAGCUAGAGGACGGGAGAGGGAAGUGGAAUUCCUGGUGUAGGGGUGAAAUCCGUAGAUAUCAGGAGGAACAUCGGUGGCGAAGGCUGCUUCCUGGUCCGUUACUGACGCUGAGACGCGAAAGCAUGGGUAGCAAACAGG